CCUACGGGUGGCAGCAGUGGGGAAUUUUGGACAAUGGGCGCAAGCCUGAUCCAGCUAUUCCGCGUGUGGGAAGACGGCCUUCGGGUUGUAAACCACUUUUGUAGAGAACGAAAAGUCUGUUGAUAAUACCGAUAGAUGAUGACGGUACUCUCAGAAUAAGCACCGGCUAACUACGUGCCAGCAGCCGCGGUAAUACGUAGGCUGCGAGCGUUAGUCGGAAUUACUGGGCGGAAAGGGUGUGCAGGCGGUUUUGCAAGAUGGAUGUGAAAGCCCCGGGCUUAACCUGGGAUAGCCAUACAUGACUGCAAGACUAGAGUGCGUCAGAGGGGGGUGGAAUUCCGAGUGUAGCAGUGAAAUGCGUAGAUAGUUGGAAGAACACCGAUGGCGAAGGCAGACGCCUGGGACGCAACUGACGCUCAUACACGAAAGCGUGGGGAGCAAACAGGAUUAGAUACCCUAGUAGUC
This 465-nucleotide ribosomal RNA is filed under the name uncultured bacterium. Its description in RNAcentral is "partial 16S ribosomal RNA". It matches the Rfam family "Bacterial small subunit ribosomal RNA", at positions 338 to 795 of the family's 1533-position model. The record is from RNAcentral.